ACGGAAGGCAGCAGUGGGGAAUAUUGCACAAUGGGGGAAACCCUGAUGCAGCGACGCCGCGUGAGUGAAGAAGUUAUUCGUAAUGUAAAGCUCUAUCAGCAGGGAAGAAAAUGACGGUACCUGACUAAGAAGCCCCGGCUAACUACGUGCCAGCAGCCGCGGUAAUACGUAGGGGGCAAGCGUUAUCCGGAUUUACUGGGUGUAAAGGGAGCGUAGACGGUCUGGCAAGUCUGAUGUGAAAGGCAGGGGCUCAACUCCUGGACUGCAUUGGAAACUGUCAGUCUUGAGUGUCGUAGAGGUAAGCGGAAUUCCUAGUGUAGCGGUGAAAUGCGUAGAUAUUAGGAGGAACACCAGUGGCGAAGGCGGCUUACUGGACGAUAACUGACGUUGAGGCUCGAAAGCGUGGGGAGCAAACAGGAUUAGAUACCCUGGUA
This 434-nucleotide ribosomal RNA is filed under the name uncultured Lachnospiraceae bacterium. RNAcentral describes it as "partial 16S ribosomal RNA". It matches the Rfam family "Bacterial small subunit ribosomal RNA", at positions 341 to 792 of the family's 1533-position model. Lineage: Bacteria; Bacillati; Bacillota; Clostridia; Lachnospirales; Lachnospiraceae. The record is from RNAcentral.